This 499-nucleotide long non-coding RNA is filed under the name Rattus norvegicus (Norway rat). RNAcentral's name for it is "long non-coding RNA NONRATT029342". The record is from RNAcentral. Lineage: Eukaryota; Metazoa; Chordata; Mammalia; Rodentia; Muridae.
CUCCACUUGGGGAAGGUGAGUCUGCCCCGCCCGUGGCGGAGAGGCGAUGCCCAGGCUGCUGAAUCCGGUCCCUGGCGUGGUUCCAGCUCUGCUCUAGGAGACCCGGCGCUCUGAGACCUCAUAGACAGCCCGAAAUGGGGAUGCCACCCUUGCUCUUCUGUUGGGUGUCUUUCGUGCUUCCACUUUUUGUGGCAGCAGGUAACUGUACUGAUGUCUAUAUGCACCAUGAGAUGAUUUCAGAGGGCCAGCCUUUCCCCUUCAACUGCACAUACCCUCCAGUAACAAACGGGGCAGUGAAUCUGACAUGGCAUAGAACACCCAGUAAGAGCCCAAUCUCCAUCAACAGACACGUUAGAAUUCACCAGGACCAGUCCUGGAUUUUGUUUCUUCCGUUGGCAUUGGAGGACUCAGGCAUCUAUCAAUGUGUUAUAAAGGAUGCCCACAGCUGUUACCGAAUAGCUAUAAACCUAACCGUUUUUAGAAAACACUGGUGCGACUC